This 26-nucleotide unclassified non-coding RNA is filed under the name Mus musculus (house mouse). RNAcentral describes it as "oocyte_clustered_small_RNA5159". The record is from RNAcentral. Lineage: Eukaryota; Metazoa; Chordata; Mammalia; Rodentia; Muridae.
UGGCAAAUGUAUUUGUAAAUUUACAA